AACGAACGCUGGCGGCAUGCCUAACACAUGCAAGUCGAACGAUUGCCUUCGGGUGAUAGUGGCGCACGGGUGCGUAACGCGUGGGAAUCUGCCCUUAGGUUCGGAAUAACAGCUGGAAACGGCUGCUAAUACCGGAUGAUAUCGCGAGAUCAAAGAUUUAUCGCCUGAGGAUGAGCCCGCGUUGGAUUAGGUAGUUGGUGGGGUAAAGGCCUACCAAGCCGACGAUCCAUAGCUGGUCUGAGAGGAUGAUCAGCCACACUGGGACUGAGACACGGCCCAGACUCCUACGGGAGGCAGCAGUGGGGAAUAUUGGACAAUGGGCGCAAGCCUGACCCAGCAAUGCCGCGUGAGUGAUGAAGGCCCUAGGGCUGUAAAGCUCUUUUACCCGGGAAGAUAAUGACUGUACCGGGAGAAUAAGCCCCGGCUAACUCCGUG
Molecule: ribosomal RNA, 435 nt
Filed under: uncultured bacterium
Lineage: Bacteria
Description: partial 16S ribosomal RNA
Rfam family: Bacterial small subunit ribosomal RNA
Source: RNAcentral